GGUGAUUAUCGGAGAAUAUUCGCCGAGACGAAGUCGAGGUGAAUAUUCCCCGAUAAUCACCGAGCCUGAGGCGAAUAAUUGUUUUAGUAUUUUUGUGUUUUUUGGGACUGAAUUUAUUUUAAUUUCGCUUAUUUCUUUAUCAGUAUAAUGGCCACACAACGGCUAGCCGCCAUUUUGAAUAUUUCGAUUUUGUUAUAUUCACCUAUAGGUGAAUAUAACAGCUUAAUACGUCAAAUUUGAC
Paramuricea clavata is the source of this 241-nucleotide non-coding RNA. The record is from the annotation of a GenBank genome assembly. NCBI's taxonomy places the organism in Eukaryota, Metazoa, Cnidaria, Anthozoa, Malacalcyonacea, Plexauridae.